ACUCAAAUGAAUUGACGGGGGCCCGCACAAGCGGCGGAGCAUGUGGCUUAAUUCGACGCAACGCGAAGAACCUUACCUGGGUUUGACAUGCAGGGAAAUCCCAUAGAGAUAUGGGGUCCGCAAGGGUCCUGCACAGGUGGUGCAUGGCUGUCGUCAGCUCGUGUCGUGAGAUGUUGGGUUAAGUCCCGCAACGAGCGCAACCCUCGUCCUAUGUUGCCAGCGGAUUAUGCCGGGGACUCAUAGGAGACUGCCGGGGUCAACUCGGAGGAAGGUGGGGACGACGUCAAGUCAUCAUGCCCCUUAUGUCCAGGGCUGCACACAUGCUACAAUGGCUGGUACAAAGGGCAGCUAAAUCGCAAGAUGGAGCGAAUCCCAAAAAGCCAGUCUCAGUUCGGAUUGGGGUCUGCAACUCGACCCCAUGAAGUCGGAGUCGCUAGUAAUCGCAGAUCAGCAACGCUGCGGUGAAUACGUUCCCGGGCCUUGUACACACCGCCCGU
Molecule: ribosomal RNA, 497 nt
Filed under: uncultured bacterium
Lineage: Bacteria
Description: partial 16S ribosomal RNA
Rfam family: Bacterial small subunit ribosomal RNA
Source: RNAcentral